UAAGCCAAAAUUGUCAGUGGAGCUUGGAGGCCGAGGGGUCCCUGGGCCCCGGAAGCUCCUUUAACAUGGAAUACGUGCCUCCUGCCUCUUCCUCUAGAGUCCGUCGCCGGAUGAGUUUUUAAUUAUUGGGGUAGGGCCCCAAGGGUGGGAUGAAAUGUUGCUUUAGCUGAUGGGGAACAGUGCUGUUUUAGUGGGGGAAUU
Molecule: long non-coding RNA, 201 nt
Filed under: Homo sapiens (human)
Lineage: Eukaryota; Metazoa; Chordata; Mammalia; Primates; Hominidae
Description: HSALNT0010643
Source: RNAcentral